RNAcentral lists this ribosomal RNA (468 nucleotides) under uncultured bacterium. RNAcentral describes it as "partial 16S ribosomal RNA". It matches the Rfam family "Bacterial small subunit ribosomal RNA", at positions 28 to 507 of the family's 1533-position model. The record is from RNAcentral.
GACGAACGCUGGCGGCGUGCUUAACGCAUGCAAGUCGAACGGAAAGGCCCUGCUUUUGUGGGGUGCUCGAGUGGCGAACGGGCGAGUAACACGUGAGUAACCUGCCCUUGACUUUGGGAUAACUUCAGGAAACUGGGGCUAAUACCGGAUAGGAGCUCCUGCUGCAUGGUGGGGGUUGGAAAGUUUCGGCGGUUGGGGAUGGACUCGCGGCUUAUCAGCUUGUUGGUGGGGUAGUGGCUUACCAAGGCUUUGACGGGUAGCCGGCCUGAGAGGGUGACCGGCCACAUUGGGACUGAGAUACGGCCCAGACUCCUACGGGAGGCAGCAGUGGGGAAUAUUGCACAAUGGGCGGAAGCCUGAUGCAGCAACGCCGCGUGCGGGAUGACGGCCUUCGGGUUGUAAACCGCUUUCGCCUGUGACGAAGCGUGAGUGACGGUAAUGGGUAAAGAAGCACCGGCUAACUACGUG